This 253-nucleotide ribosomal RNA is filed under the name uncultured bacterium. Its description in RNAcentral is "partial 16S ribosomal RNA". It matches the Rfam family "Bacterial small subunit ribosomal RNA", at positions 524 to 776 of the family's 1533-position model. The record is from RNAcentral.
UACAGAGGUGGCAAGCGUUGUUCGGAAUUACUGGGCGUAAAGCGUGCGCAGGCGGUUUUGUAAGCCAGCUGUGAAAGCCCCGGGCUCAACCUGGGAAUGGCAUUUGGGACUGCAAGGCUGGAGUGUGGCAGAGGAGACUGGAAUUCCUGGUGUAGCAGUGAAAUGCGUAGAUAUCAGGAGGAAUACCGAUGGCGAAGGCAGGUCUCUGGGCUAACACUGACGCUCAGGCACGAAAGCGUGGGGAGCAAACAGG